GACGAACGCUGGCGGCGUGCUUAACACAUGCAAGUCGAACGGAAAGGCCCUGCUUUUGUGGGGUGCUCGAGUGGCGAACGGGUGAGUAACACGUGAGUAGCCUGCCCUUUACUUUGGGAUAACUUCAUUAAACUGGGACUCAUAUCGGGUAUGAACUCCUUCUACAUGGGGGGGAUGGGAGAGUUUGGGCGUUUGGUGAUGCAUGCGCGAUUUAGCAGCUUGUUGGGUUGGUAGUGGAUUACCAAGGCAUUGAUGGGUAGCCGGCUUGGGAGGGUGACCGGACACAUUGGGACUGAGGAAGGGCCCAGACGCCAACGGGAGGCAGGAGUGGGAAAUAUUGCACAAUGGGCCGAGGCAUGAUGCAGCAACGCCGCGUGCGGGAUGACGGCCUUCGGGUUAUAAACCGCUUGCGCCUGUGACGAAGCGUGAGUGACGGUAAUGGGUAAAGAAGCACCGGCUAACUACGUG
RNAcentral lists this ribosomal RNA (468 nucleotides) under uncultured bacterium. RNAcentral describes it as "partial 16S ribosomal RNA". It matches the Rfam family "Bacterial small subunit ribosomal RNA", at positions 28 to 507 of the family's 1533-position model. The record is from RNAcentral.